AUUGAACGCUGGCGGCAGGCCUAACACAUGCAAGUCGAGCGGAUGAAGGGAGCUUGCUCCUGGAUUCAGCGGCGGACGGGUGAGUAAUGCCUAGGAAUCUGCCUGGUAGUGGGGGAUAACGUCCGGAAACGGGCGCUAAUACCGCAUACGUCCUGAGGGAGAAAGUGGGGGAUGUUCGGACAUCAUGCUAUCAUAUGAGCCUAGGUCGGAUUAGCUAGUUGGUGGGGUAAAGGCUUACCAAGGCGACGUUCCGUAACUGGUCUGAGAGGAUGAUCAGCCACACUGGAGCUGAGACACGGUCCAGGCUCCUACGGGAGGCAGCAGUGGGGAAUGUUGGACAGUGGGCGAGAGCCUGGUCCAACCGUGCCGCGUGUGUGAAGAAGGUCUUCGGAUUGUAAAGCACUUUAAGUUGGGAGAAAGGGCAGUAAGUUAAUACCUUGCUGUUUUGACGUUACCGACAGAAUAAGCACCGGCUAACUUCGUG
Molecule: ribosomal RNA, 484 nt
Filed under: uncultured bacterium
Lineage: Bacteria
Description: partial 16S ribosomal RNA
Rfam family: Bacterial small subunit ribosomal RNA
Source: RNAcentral